Molecule: ribosomal RNA, 371 nt
Filed under: uncultured bacterium
Lineage: Bacteria
Description: bacterial SSU rRNA
Rfam family: Bacterial small subunit ribosomal RNA
Source: RNAcentral
AGCGAACGCUGGCGGCAUGCUUAACACAUGCAAGUCGCACGGGGCGCUUUCGGGCAUCCAAUGGCGGACGGGUGAGUAUCGCGUAGGGAUUUGUCGUUGGGUGGGGACAACCUUGGGAAACGUGGGCGUAAUACCGCAUGACGCCUGUGGGCCAAAGCUCGUGAGGGCGCCUGACGAGGAGCCUGCGUCCGAUUAGGUAGUUGGUUGGGUGAUGGCUGACCAAGCCUGCGAUCGGUAGCUGGUCUGAGAGGAUGGCCAGCCACACUGGGGACUGAGACACGGCCCAGACUCCUACGUGAGGCAGCAGUGGGGAAUAUUGGACAAUGGGCGCAAGCCUGAUCCAGCAAUGCCGCGUGGAUGAAGAAGGUUUU